UAGGGAAUCUUCGGCAAUGGGGGGAACCCUGACCGAGCAACGCCGCGUGAGUGAAGAAGGUUUUCGGAUCGUAAAGCUCUGUUGUUAAGGAAGAACGAGUGUGAGAAUGGAAAGUUCAUACUGUGACGGUACUUAACCAGAAAGGGACGGCUAACUACGUGCCAGCAGCCGCGGUAAUACGUAGGUCCCGAGCGUUGUCCGGAUUUAUUGGGCGUAAAGCGAGCGCAGGCGGUUAGAUAAGUCUGAAGUUAAAGGCAGUGGCUCAACCAUUGUAGGCUUUGGAAACUGUUUAACUUGAGUGCAGAAGGGGAGAGUGGAAUUCCAUGUGUAGCGGUGAAAUGCGUAGAUAUAUGGAGGAACACCGGUGGCGAAAGCGGCUCUCUGGUCUGUAACUGACGCUGAGGCUCGAAAGCGUGAGGAGCGAGCAGG
This 429-nucleotide ribosomal RNA is filed under the name Bacteroidota bacterium. RNAcentral describes it as "Bacteroidetes bacterium partial 16S ribosomal RNA". It matches the Rfam family "Bacterial small subunit ribosomal RNA", at positions 355 to 776 of the family's 1533-position model. Lineage: Bacteria; Pseudomonadati; Bacteroidota. The record is from RNAcentral.